CCCGUCAACAGCAUAAAUGCUGUUCGUAUCACAAUUUUGACAAAACUGUGCCAAGAAAAAGUGUACAAAACUUAUACCCGUCACAACUACGGGUUUUUGUUCCGAAAAGCUUAGCAAAGUGCCGUAAUAUCGUGCUUAUGUGUGUAUUUCUGCCAGGAUAGCGAUCAUAUUUCAACGUUCCCAUUCGUGUACAAUUCUUGAUCGGAGAGCUAGAUCCGAGAAAAAAAAAUUCUAUUACGCCCGUAACUGUGCAUUAUCAGACCCGGUGUGUUGGAGAGUAAGGAAAAAAACGCAAACCCAUCAUCGAAUCCACCCGAUACCCCUUCCAAAUGACGCACCUAUCGGCAGGACACUACGUCAUGGCAGCUGUGUAAAAACAUCCGACAACACAGUCGAAACCAUCUUUACCGGCGAGAGGUGUGUGUGCUGUAGCGGAUUGCUUGCAUAAAGUUCUUCCCGGUGUACGUUGAUGUGUCGUUUGCUGGUGCGUGAUUACUCAACACGAGCAUUAGCCGAAAACAUGUUAAGCGUAUUGUGAAAAUUAGCGCAAAACACAAAGUGAAGUUUUCGAGUGUUUCUAUCGAGUACACAACUGCAGUUGAUCUGAUCGUGCUUUUCUCCGUUCCGUAUUGUGCGUGGGUUGUGUCCGUUGUCGAUAUCAACAAGAGCCAAGUUACACAUGUCCUUGUCGUUUAAAUGUGAUGAAAAAAAGAAAUGUAACCAUCAUAAAUCAAUCUACGUAACUAAGUGUAGUGUAAUUGCAAGAAAGCAAAAGUAAAAAAUAUCCUCCAUACCCAACGCCUACUAACGCGCAUCACUUAUCACAGUUUCCUAGCGUACCGUCUUGGUGAUGAAAGGUUUGAUCUGUAUUUGAAGUGUGUAUCGAGCGUUGUUUGUCAGUGAGCGCAUAAAAGUUCGUGUUAACAAGACACCCUUCGAAAAACGAAGCGAGAACGGUGGUCAAGGAGAAGAAAAUUUGCCGCACAAAUUGAAAACACGUAGAAAAACAUCAAGCCCCACGUCAGGCGGAAGAUAUAAAUUCAAACCCAUGCAUGGUACGAUUCAACAUUUUUUUAACUUUUAUGUAUACAUGCAAUUUAAUGCAAUCGAAGUAAUAACUGGUAAGAAAUAUAUCUCUUGAUAAGACAUUGUUCAACUCAAUCGAUAGGACAUACACACAGAAUCAUUGAAAAAUGAAGAAAUGAUCAACAAUCGACGAAUAACUCUGAGAUCAGUCAAACCGUGUUAUCGUGAACGUGUGUGAGAGCAUUCUGCCUCCGACGUAUGACUAAUUCAAUCAUAAUUCGGAGCCGUGCGGAAAUAUCAUCGCCCAUCAUCUUAUCUGUUAAUUGAUAUUAAUAUGAUCUCGACGCGGAAAAUCUCAGUCAUCAUUGAGUACAGGGGUUGGCUCCAGAUUUCAAUUGACAUGUUCACUAGCGUCGCUGAGGUUGCGGUACGCAUCAUUCAUAUUACGGGCAGGGUAAUGGUAGACGCGCAAUGUUUAAGGGCUUCCACCAACAGUGCGGGCGUUUUCGAGUAGAGUUGCCACCAUCAAUUGAGUCCUCUAUUGCUAUCAAUUAACCUUCCUUCUAGACCCUCUUCUUGCUUUCCUCUGCGUAUUUCACAGAGAGAAAACUUAUGUCCUGAGCAUAUUGGAUGCGCAAGCAAUGAUGUUUACUCCCCCAACGUCAAUAUCAACGCCAAUUCCAAGCAUCGUUCAGUUAAUAAACCUGCUGCCCACUUGCUUGCUCCCCCCGUUUCCUUUUAAGCGUCGACAGGCCGGCAAACAGGCUACAAAACGCGGCACAUUAUCCCAUCUGCUCAAAUGGGAGCCAUUGCGCCCAACGCCGACGGAUGGGAAUCCACAUUCGAGCAAUUCCGUCUCCACGCGGUUACUGUGUUCUCACAACGAUGUUUAUAAUGUGUCACUCCUCUCUGCAUCCCAGUCUCAAAAGGUCUCAAAACUAUGUGUGUUUGUAUGUGAUUUAAAAAUAAGCAUGAAGCUUCGACAUAAACGAUCGUACAGGGUGGCGCUCCAUACCGACCUCUGUUUCGGGUAACGCCGAGCCUUUGUGCAACGUUUCAAAUGACGUCUUAGACAGUACGUUACACCCGCUAUACUUGACCGAACGGCUCUCCGACCGAACGCAGAUCACGGGCAGUUUAGAGUGGUCAAGAAGUGUCGGCUAUGAAUUGCUUCUAAUAUCUUUGAACUUGGUUUGUGUGCACGGAAUACGACACAUGCUCAAUUAGCUUGUCAUAAAAGCGACUUUAAUGUUUUGAUUCACUUCCCUUGGUCCCACGGUAUCCCGCAAUACUUUUCUUGAUACGGGUAAAACAUUUUCGAUAAGAUUGUUUCUAUUGUACUUUCCUAGGUUUGAUAGGAAAUUAGACAAAUCUUUCAUUUUGUCUGAUAGUAGAACAAUGUUUUUUUUUAGAUUUAUUUUACUUGCGUUGAAAGUUUCGUUGAAUUGCGAGAUAAUCAGUUAAACAAAAUGAGACGCCACUGUCGGCAACUUACACAACAGCGUCAGUCGAAGAGUUCCUCUUCUGCCUUUACGAACAUACCACACUAAGGCAAUAGGACAGUCUCGGCGGUAACUCGAUCGCCUCCAACAAGGAAAAAGAGUUCCCACGUCUCUGCACUCUCUAGCCAACCGGCUGAUGCUCUUCGGACGUACAUAAAUAUUUAUACACUACACGCAAGCAAACAUUACAAACGCUCCGCAUGCUGGAACACUACUUAACGAAUUGGUUCUUUGAAGCUUCAGCAUAGGGUUUAGUUUGUUUCGGAAUACGUGGAGGUGGCGAAAUACUGAUCCAUUCCGAGAUCUUCGAUCGAAAUCUGAAGAGUACUGAGGCAGGUUUGGAAUGUGAAGCACGGUCUGCACCAUCGGUAUCUUCUUCGUUUAUCGGUGUGAGCUUUUCGGUACCUCUGCGCUGGUGGCUAACUUCCUUGAGCAGCGUUUUCUCCCCCGCACGGUUGCGACCGUAAAUAACUGCCGAAGGUUUCGGAACAUUCCUCAGUAUACAAGCAUUUCAAACAAAAACAUUCUUUAAAUUGACUUUAGUUUGAAGAGCUAAACAGUAAGCGGUUGCUAGGGAAUAACGAUCAAAGAUUCUAUCGUUGCGGAUGCUCGAAACGAAUGGUCACUGAUAAACCGACGAAAGGUUUCUCGUCUGCCCAGCAUCCUCAAAAGACCCUUCGCGGAAACUUAGCCAUUGACAGUUACGCCAAAUAUUCCAGUGAAUCGAUAAGGAUUAAACGACGGCAGUUCGGGCUGAAGAAUUGCUUCCCGUUAUUGUUUUGCUUUUUGUAGCUUCCCAUUGUGGAACACAAAACCACAAACGAGAUUUCUUUCUCAUUUUUUUCACGAUUUGUGUUUUCUUAGAUAGUUUCUCAUGCUCAAUGCCUAGGCAACCACCCUCACUGUGCUGACUGAGUUUCAUCCACGCAUGCACCAGGUCCGGAUUGGGUUUUUACCACCGACCGUUGUCAUUCCGAGCUUCGUUCGGUUGAUAUUUCUCUUUGGGGGCUCUGGACGCUGUGAUUCCAGCAGACAGUUCCCCAAGUUCUGGCGUGUGUUUGCAGGAGGUGUGGGGGAUCUUAUAUCCCGCAUCACAUUCUUAGUCGUACCUGUUUUCAAGGUUCUUUAACUCGACCGGGAGCCAGUACUAAGAAGAAGGUCGUAAUGUCUCAAGAUCCCACCCGCAUCAGAAGCCCUACCGAAGCCAGCGAGGGAAGAUCGACGAGCAGUUUCAUAUUACCCAUUACGGCUUGUGGCCGGUUAACAUUUUCUCUCUAUCGCUUUCUCACUUGCGCUGCGAUUGUCUGAUGGAGUCUACCACCGCAGGCACCAGAUAUACCGAAACGUCCAAGCAUGGUAAAGUGAACGACUAGUCAGCCGGACAGAAGUGGAAUUUCAUACACUUGAACAUCUCAUAACAACAGCAACAGCAUAACAAUCAUCAUCAUCGUCGUAGUCGUCUUCCUCAGCAGCCACAGCAGCAGCCAAAGACCUCAAUGGCAAUCCCAGCCAGCAUAGUUUCACCCACCCAUUCCUUCGGCUCCUUCCGCUCCGUCUUUGCUUCGAUCGUAUGAGCGUAUCCAAAUGUGUACGCUGGACACACUGCUAAACGUAAGCGGGCGAGAGCCUCGUGAGACGAUUCAUUUGAAACGAAUUCAAAUGAAUAUUAAUUCUGAUUUUCCCAAAUUGGAGGAGGAUUUCAUUAGGUCCGAUUCUUUUGGAUCGUUUUCGGAUCGUUUUGUCCUAUCGCUCUUUCUGACCCUCUGCUUCGUUUUGUUGUUUUCGAUCCGCACCUUGCCGUUCGGCUUCCAUAGGCACCACAUCACCGCUAUCGGUGGCGACUGAUGCUGGUUUUGUUUUUUUCAUUCUUUCGCCAUUGCGUUUUGUUUUGUUCCUUCUUAAACAUUUAAAGAUUCGUUUAAGUCGCGAAUGUUGUGGAUUUGUGAUGAGUGUUCACCUCCUUCAAGCGCUGGUAACAUCUAUGUUUGUGUUACACAGGGGCUAUUCACAAAACUGAUCUCUCCCACAACUUAUACAAAACAUUUUUCUACCUCGAAAGAAUUUACGAUUGUGCAUCAUUCUUAGAAAAAGGUUUCCUUACCUUAGCUUAAAGAAGGGCAUGGUUGAUAUGCACGAUAUUAGCCCUUUGGCUUAACAAAAUUUAACGAAUUUUAUGGAAAGAAUUUUAAAGAAUCUUCCGAAGUAAUACAAGAUAAAUCCCCUCAAGUGCAUAAUUUUAAGGGAGCCAUUAAUUCACAUUUCACCUCUUUCUUACAUUUUCAAAUUCUUGAGAUACGUUGACUUAUUUUCCUACUAUUUUUAUAAUUUUGCGAUCUGAUUUUUUAUCGAAAACUGUCACUACCAGCUGUUUAUGACUGUAUAACAAAUAAAAUUCUCAUUAGAAGAUAAUAAAUACAUCUCAGCUGUUAUCCUUUUCGCGAUCACCAAACCGUAUAAAACAUUAAAUGAAGGCAUCAAAUGUUGCAUGCGGGUUAUUUCAUAUAUCGUCACCUCAAGGCCAAAUUUUGCGAUAAAAAUCAUUCAUUUUAGGUGUCUACGUGUUCCCUUGGCCAUCGCCGCAUCGAACAAUCACUCCCUGUGGCUUUCUGUGUUGUUUAGGCGUGGUGAUAGGCUAUGUUGAAAUGAUUUAAAUUUCACCACAAUUUAUUCAACGCACUCUUCACUAUCAGCAACACCGGUGGUGGCCUUUCGUACGAAUGGCAUCGAUGUAUAGGCUACUAGCUGUAGAGAUAAACCUAAACAUUUUAAGGUGCGACAACCUACCUGCCACACUAUCCAUGGCUUGCAUAUGUUUCUUUUUUGGUGCGGUUUUUAGUAUCGCGUGCUAAACGUAUCCACUAAAUGCUUCCUCGAGGGCGUGUGAUUUGCUUUAGCGUGCCUUUAGACUGUUACAUCAAUUUUCCCUGCGGUGGGAUGUGACUUUUUUUGGUUUUUCCUAAGCUAGGACCACUUUCAGUAACGAAACAUAUUUUUUUUAGAAAAUCCAACUAGAAUUAGCUAUUAUGCAUGGAACUUCAAAUUUGUUAACUUUUUUUUUAUUUCCCCUCAAAAAGUGGCAUGCAUUUUUAUACCGAUCUUAUUGAUUUGCAAGUAUCAAAUAUAAAAAACACAUUAGUUAACCUGUAUGAUAUAAAAUUCUAUAAUCGUUCUUUUUUAUUUACGAUAUAAUAACAAGGCGUGUACGUGUGUACACCAAAGUCAUCAGAGCAUAAAAUUCAAUAAUCUAAAUAUAUUUAAAGCAUCCAGCCUUAAAGCAGGUAUUAUUUACGUUCUAUUCCGUACGAAAAUGUCGUCAUCAUUAUAAUCUUCGUUAUUAUUAAGCUCUUAAGAAUCAGAUGGACUUGAGACGAUAGUGUUUGAUGCAGCACGAUUUCCAAAUUAUUUCCUCUAACUGCUCCAUCUUCUUACAGAUAGAUUUAAAAUGGAUAUCCAUGGCCGACGAAACAAUUAAAAACUCUUCAAACCAAUAACAAGAACCACAAAAAAAACAGAUUAAAACUUCAAAAAACAAUCACUGAUUCAAUCCACGCCACCUUCUUCAGCAAGAAACAAGACCUCCAACGAUCAAUCCAAGCGACUGCAAGAUCUGUUCGACAGCAAGAGGAAACACGUUUGCUUGAUUUCGUAGGUGGCUGAGCCAGCUAAUUUUCGGACUAAUUCUUCCGCUAUGCAGACAAAAUGAAGUCGCGAGUAUGCACGCGUUGUGACGGUCACGCUUGUGUGCGAGUCCGGCCGCAGCUUCAAGGCUUGUUCACAAAUUAAUGAGCUGAUUGCAAUCGAGAGCAGCAGUAGUGGGAGGCUUCAUAUGGAAACACCACGGUUGCUGUCAUCCGACCAAGGUUAAGUGGUUCGGGGCGAAUUUAAACACUGCUGUUAGACGACGCAAAACUAUCGCUAUACGGCAACGAAACUAGAAACGUUCUUUGCUUUUCUGAUCAUUGUUUUGAUUUGUUUAAUCGACAUAUAAAAGAAUAUACCUUCCGGCACACUCUUAUGCAUGCCGACGGCAGUGUGGUGAGAACAGCACGAUGAAUAAAUUAAUGCAUUCUGAAGAUUGAUGAUGCCUGCCUUAAUGCAGCGGAAGCACUAACAAAUUACUCUUGAAAUUGUUCUACUCACAUCGUUGUGCAAUUAAUUACCAGUGGUUUAUAAACGAUACGCAUCGUACCGGGUAGAUGGCACGGCCGGAAUGGCCAAGCAUCGAUGAAUCAUCAAAGAUAAAGAAACAUACGUCCAAAAAUCGAUUUUUCAACGUGUGUUUCAAGGCGUGUUUUCCGUUAAAAUGGAGAAAGGGUGCAGCAAAGGUGAACAUAAAAGACAUUCUGUUUUUACAACAUUAUCAAAAAUGGAAAGUAAAAUACGCCAGUUUGAGCUUCCAUCGCAAACACCGAGUGCCUUUUUACUUGCGUUCAUAUCGAUGUGUUGGGGUUUUUUGCUCUUCAUUUCGUUCUUGUCUCAAUACAUUACCUCGUCUCUGCUUAUCGAUUGUUUAAACGAUCGAAAAGCUAUCCAUUAAGCAAACGGCAGCCACUAGCAAGCUGGGGAAGCGCUACCAAUUCUCAUUCGUAUCGCAGCCGCUGAUUAAGCGUAAUGAGAUGAAGUCUCUGACGUCAGGUAAGAAAGCGAAAAAGCGCCCCAAAAAUCAAACGAACACAUCGUCUACAGUGUGCACCAACGCUUGUCCCGCAACACAGCCACAAGGGUCCGUUACAAAUGCGACCGUUCCAUGCGGAGGACUGUUUGGUGGGAAGUGGACCGAGGCCGUCUAAACGUUUUGCCGGCAACAUUCAAGCAUAAGCUCAAUUAAUUAGGCGAACGCGAAAAGCCGCAAAACUACCUCUGAGAAGGCAUCUUUGCUAAAAAAAAGAAACAAAAAAAAAGGUUGAGGAACAAACUAUGAAACAUUUGUGCGGAGUGGAAAAGGGAUCUGAUCUCUUCCCUUCGAUGUUUGCUCACCGGCAUUCGUGGUGAAGAGAAAACGAGAGGAAAAAAGAAUGGGCGACGCGAAUAUAUAAAAUUAAUUGUUUUCAGUUUAAUUAUUUUGGGUUCGCUUCUUUCCUUGUGAUCCAUCGUUGGGCGGCUGUACAGUGGGGGAAAAAACCAGCAACAACAAAACACAAAAAGAACAAACGUCGGCACUGUCGCGCAAAUAGCAACCCUCAACACACAAGAGGGCACUCCCUUUUCCGUGGCAAAAAACGCAGCAUCAGUGUGGGAGAAGAUGUCGCUGCACGUUGCCCGCAGAAACCCCAACCGGAUAGGUACCGCCACAAGAAGGAUCGUAUAUGAAGAAAUUCUUUGUCGUGCGGAAAGAACAUCCCACCGAACCGGUGGAGUUGCAAGGUGGGGUUGAUGGGAUUUCGCACAAAUCGACUAAGAAUGUGACCGAUCUUUCGGGUUUCGUCUCCGAUCCUGCUUCCUCGGUGGUACCAGCCACGACGAUAUCAUUAAACCAGACAGAUACAUAUGGCGCGAGGAUAUCAAAUCGAUGAAAAGUUGCAGUUGAGCACCUUCGCGCGGAGUGGGUGGGUGUGACGCUGACGAUGUUGAUGGGGAGACCUUCUGGCGAGAGACAUAUUUCGUUAUGUUGUUUGGCUUGCUGUUGCGUUCUGUUCUCACUCACACCCGCUGUUCGCUGACCCACUGCAGCACAUUUCGAAUCAUGUGUGUUUUGUUGUGUUUUUAUUUUUCAUUUUGUUUGCCAUUUUGUUCCUUUUAAGUAAAACCAUUUCGGGACCGAUUGUUCGUUUUGACCAAAAGUACCGCCGCGUACCCGGGCAUACCGAAACGUUUCGAUGAGAUGGACCGGUGUUGAAUGAUUUCGUUGCCACGCACUCGUUCGAUCUUCCGACCGUUUCGGCACGGCUUCACUUUGUUUUGUUCCCGACUUCCCGGCCCAAGCAGACAAGUGCAACCGGCUCCUUAAUGUGCAUGCGUAUUGGUGGGGAGUAGGUUUUUUCACUCUCUUUUUUAAAUUUAUUAUCAACGCGUUGAAGGCACCCCAAGAACGGUGCCGAGAAUGCUUCCAAAAGCCAUUGGAGGAAUAUCCACCGAGGACUACAAAUCAAAACGGCAGAUAAAAUCGAAAUGUUUAAUGAUGCGCACGGAUGGAUGCGUCCCCCGGUGGAAUGGUAAGCUUUUGAGCAAGCGGCACCAGCAACAGGCAACAUGAGAAACGCACCACAGAGUAAUUGGCGCAAACCCUGCUGAGCCAUUUCGGCCAAGGAAAAGGCUUUUUGACGCUCGAAACGCGAAAGAUUUCUCAUCUGUUAAACGUGAGUUCUUAAGCGAUGAAACGGUAGGAUUAUGUAGCAAAAUUUUAGCAGAGUCUGGGCAACGCCACCCAACAUCGUUAUCCUGGUGCACUUCCAGAGGGGAAUGGUUCGGAAGAUCAUCAACUACAAAGGUUAAAGUAAAAGCAGCACGUCAGCGUUCAAAAUGUAAGUGUCGAGCGUGUCAUGUGUGGCACUGCAUCGACCCGCCAGCGGUUACUUUCUGAAGGUUAAGGAAUUACGGGCUUGGUCCGUGUCAAUUCCUCUUCGAUUAUCGCGAUAAUCCUUAAGUGAUGAAGUUUGAACGUUUCGAUGAGCCGUUUCUUUCCGCUCCUUCCACACAAAUUGUUGUCCAUCGCGUCGAUCACUCCCGCUCCCAUAUACCACCGAAACCAGGAAGCAAAGGUAAAAGUUGAUCGCGUACCAUCUCAAACUAUUAUCAUCUUCAGCCCGAGCACUUCUCGCCUGGCGCAACCAAUGAUUGCGCCAAUGUGCUUACCAAAUUUUAGCCUCCCGGUUGAAGUUCAACCAAGGGAAAGGUCUCCCCGCCAAAAGUGGGGUAAAACUUUCAAAUCAAUUUUCGCUUACCCAACCGGCAACAAACAAACGAAACGCGUUAUCGCGUAAAUCGCGUGCGUUUGAGUCUUUUCUGUUUUCUUUACGCUCUUCGAAGAACUUCAAAAUCGAAGGCUCACAGUGAAGCGUUCAGUGAAAGAUCGGGCUCUCUUAACCGCGGCAAUUAAUCAGUGCAACGAAAUCUCUUUACUUCUUUCGGGGGUUUUAUUUUAUAGAGAAGGAAGGAAAUUGCACGGUCGAAGUUCGAGCCCUCACGGGUGCUGAUCGGUAUCAGACAUAGUGAACAGAAGAGGAAAACAGAGAUAAAAUGAAGGGAAAACGGAAAACGAUCAACAGCAGCAACAACACAAAAAAACGGUUCGCAACAACCUGACUUAUCAUGCAAGAAGAGGUGUUUGACCGUUGUGGGUUGUUGCGUAACGUAAGCAAACGUUUAGAAAGCAAAAUAUAACGAAUUACCAAACAACAGUGCGAUAGUGGGAUCGAAGCCUUGCUAUAAAAAAAUAAUUAUAAUUGAACAGCACUUGUAGUAUAGAGACUUUUCGGCAAGCUCAUUCUGUAAGAACACAAACUUUUGCUUCCUUCUGCUUGAUCGAUCUCAUGAUCCAGGAUCUCAUGUGAGUUUGGUUUCAAAUUUCUGUAUGAUUGUUUUCUCCAAGGCACACCUGAAGCUGCAGUAAACAUUGAUGCGUUUUUCAUGCAUCACAUAAUACUGUCGCCGCCACUGCGAAGGUAUCUUGUUUCAUUUGGAGUGAUCGAUGAGAGUCAUUCAAAAUUAAUUGGACUGUUUUUCGGCACCGUUCGGCAGAUGGGAUGAAGGUUUGGCAAAUUUAAACGAAUGGCAACAUUGCACAGCAAAGAUAUGUCUUCAGCGGUAAUCCAAAUAAAUGACUCCAUACCAUGGAGAUGCUGAGGUGGUGAGAACUUUAAAUCUUUUUGCAGCGCGGGUGCUCUCAGCUUUUACGAACUUGUUUAAUUGUUUUACCGAUUGUUGCACAUUAGCGUAGUUUUGCGUACAAGAUACGGGAAAGAGUGUCUUUUGCCAUGAUGAUUCACCAUUCCAUUAUGGCUCGUGUGAGCCGUCGUACCGAUAGUGUACCGCAAUAAAAAACGGGGGGGAAGUGACCAUUCUGAGCGGACUCAUUCCUUUUCGUGCAUGUCAGCUUCCAAUUAAUUAAGCUUAAACCUUCGGAAGCUGUUGCAGGCGCUGAGUGCAUAGCUUUCGUGAUCGAAAACAAAACAAAAAAGACGUAAUAGAAAUAGAAAAGAAACGAAACGGAACCUAAACGUGAUGUUUUUCUCUCAUUUUCAAUCUGCAACUGUCCCACCCGAAUGCGGACCGCUUGCGCUUGCGUGAGAAAAGCCUUCGAGCGGUAGCAAUAGCGUUCCAACGAUCCAAAUUCAAAUUGACAGGAAAUGUGGCCGCCCGCAGGAAAGCGGGCUGAGAUACGACGAUGCAGGAUCCGUCAGAAAUCGGUGCGGUCUCCCGCAGCGGAAGCAUUACUUCCCAUGGAUAAAAGGAAAAGGGUAAGGCGAGGCGAUGUAGCAUUUCAUUUCACCUUGCGCUGUUCCCUUGUGCACAGUGAGACUCAUCGAAGCUUCGUUAAUUAAACGGAAAUGAAGUUAUAGUCGGGUGUUUUUUUUGUUUUGUUUUGUUAUUGUGUUACUUAAAUUUCUUGAUUCGUUUCUGUUGCUUUCUGAGCUUAUCAAACGAAGGAGCAAACGACAUCGGAAAUCAAUAAAAGACCAAAGCCACACUCACGCUGAAUGGACAGUCUGGGGACGCAUAAUAAUGCAUGCCCGGUUCGGAUCGUUUGGUUUCCACCCGCCAUCACGAUGUAUCCAAUCUAUGAAGGCAGACGGAGGCCUUUUUAAGAUCGAAUUGAUCGCAAUCUUUUAUCGCUACGCUGGACGAACUCGCACUCGAACGAAGGAGGCACGGCCUCGCACCACGUUGGUGGAGCCUAAUUAAUUCACGACGCUAAUUUCAACCUCCAGCACGUUGCGGUUGCGAUCGCGAUCUGCGAAGACGGUACCACUCAACGGUGCGACUUCAUCUUCCACCCAUUUCAAGCUUAAAUUUUCCCAUCGACUUCGAGCCCUGCACCUGUCCGUGUGGUGCCUUUAGCAUGCCUCUUAGGUUUCUGUGCCUUUUGAUCCUAAUCGGGCAUGGGAGUAAAUAAAACGGUACGAUUAUUCCCUCGUAUUAUAUGUGUUUCCGUCUCCUGAUUCCUCUAUUUCGAUUCGAACGGAUAGAUUUUGAAUGAAUUCAAAAGAGCGUCAUAUCGAAAGGCGCCCUUCGAUUAUUAAUGAACCCAAGCCGUCGUCAGGUGCUUCGGGCCUCAUAAAUAUGUUACAAUUGAAUUAUUUACGGGCUUAUGUUUUAUUACAUCUUUGAGUUUUUGUUAUGCUGCGAUUGAAUCGAUAAACUUGAUAGACCUGUUUAUAGUAUUUUUAAUAACGAAAAAGUGUUCUAAAACUUGUUUACAGUUGUCGUAGCGUAGAAGAUGUUUUGACAUUAUGUGAAAUUUAAACAUUUGUCAACAUAUGUCUUCAUGUUAUUUUCUCCGACGCGGAAAAAAAUGAUUAAAUAGUGAUGUGUUUUUCUACGACUGCGAAAAUUUUCUAAAAAGUCAUCAUAGGGCCGAUUAACAGUACCGAUUGUUUAGUCCCAUUUAUCGACAUUUCAUUCCUGUGACAAUUAAACCGAAUACGUCAUUAACUGUCACCAUCCUCCAAAUACCCUAUCUGGCGAUCCUCAUAUCUUCUUUUCAUCGUUAAAUUGCAUAAAAUGAAAAGAAAGAAUGAAUAAACCGGUCCACCAAUCCAUUGUCGCAAAGAAAAGUCUGCGUCCAGCAACCGCCAUUCGCGUAAAACACGUAUUUCGCGAUGACUGCGGGUGCCAUUGGUGGUGGUGUGCACGAGAGCGGGUGUCAACAAUGUUGCUGAGCAUCCCUUGAAUCAGAUUCACCUUUUCAUCAUUUCAAGGUGCGUUUAUGCGGCACGCAGCGGGACCGUAACUGCAAUCAGUCCAUUUCACCAGCGAUCGCCACUCCGAUAUCUUUAGCAUCCGUUGCCACGGGCGAUAUCACAACACCAACACGGGAAGUUGGGGCCGGUUAUCCUCCAACCUGAAACUGUCCGGCUUUCAUCGCCAAGUGUGCAGCUACACUACUGCGUAACUUUCCACCUAUGGUAAAGGAGGAAAAUGUGACUAAUUGAUUUGUACCUUCGUGUGAAUGCUCUUCAUAGUCGAAAGCCGUCAUCAUUCGUGGAACAUGCCUUCCAGAUUGACAAAGAAGAAAAAUCAAAAUCAAUCAAGCGAUGUACACGCUUUCAGCUUAAUCCAUAUUAUACUACGCGAUGUUCAUGGCAGACGGUCCUAAAACGAUCGAAGUCGAGAUCGAUGAUUAUGCGGUUGAUACAGCUUGAACUAAAUACCGUACUAAAAAAUAUCCCAUGAUAGAAUUUUGUUUCAUCGGCUGUGUUUUUGAAGACGUGGAUUAUACAUAUUUUUUUUAGUAAAAUAUUUAGUAUAUUUCACAUAACAUCUAAGAAUUCACAUAACCUCAAAGAAUGAUUUCAUAUUUCCAAGAGAUUUUUCUUAUUCCGGUUCUGUUUCCAUUAAGCCGUUUGGCGGAAGAUAUAGCGUAUAUACUACCUGGUAAUAAUCAGGAAAGUGUGAACGGUGUCAUGUUUUGAUUGCUCAACGUUUGUGGCUCAUGAGAUAAUUGCAACCUUGAACGUCAAAAAUAUUUUUCACACCAUAACAAGAUUGAUCAUUGCCAACUGCUACUAACGCAAACUGUGAAACUAUCAACACCCGUUCGUUUUAUCCUCGUCUGUUCGAGAUAAGAAGAAAAGCCCAACUCUUAAGUUUUCAGAUGUUUACACCAUUCGCAUAUGAGUAAACAACAUGUAUAACCAUGGCAAAUUAAAAAAUAAAUUUGCUAGUCUCAAUGCAAACCAUUCCUGUGCGUUUGCAGCAAAGCAAAGAAGCAAGUGCAUCACACAUCAUAGAAAGUUCUAACCGUUGGUCCUAACUGCAAACGAAAUCGUCGCUCGUACGUCUCGAGUCUUGCUAGUUACCUUGAAGUCUGUUGGAAGAUGAAGGCAACUCGUUUGUUUUUUCCCUUGUUGUGCCUCCUUUCCCAGCGAAAAAGAAAAGAACGCUUCGGCACAGGUUUUUUGCUGAUCCUUCCCCCGCCUUCAAUAUCAGCAGACCGAAUAGUUGCAAGAUCCGUUACCAAGAAUGCACUUGUCUACCCGUAUGAAGGCAACACCGCACGAGACUCGUAUGCCAGCAACAGCAGCAACGGAUAGAAGACUCAUGGAGCUACACGUUAUUUGCUGCGGGAAAACAGAAGCUCUUUCCGUUGGCCAUAAGGCUGCUGCCGCUGUGGUCCUGAAGAAGUGCAGCCAUCGAUUCGUAUCAACCUAUCCACCGUGUGUAUAUGUGUGGCUUGUCUCCGGGAGAGUGUGGGUGAAGUUGAUGGCAGUUACGUGUUCUGAUCAUUUUUCUCCUUGCCCAGCUAACACAAGACGGCCAGUGUAUGGCGGGUCUCACCUGCAAGGAAGAGCAGAUAAACAGGUUUAUUAGCUGCUCUUACGGGCCUUCGCUGACUUCGUCGCCGACGCCGAAACACGCUGCAAAAGCUGCCAUUUCCACGUCGAACGCUUGUUGCAAGUGGUUCGCUCCGCACAGAUCGUGCCCGAUUUGCUAGUUCCCUCACGCGACCCAUCCUUACUCCUCGAUCUGUCUCAAUCGAACACCAUUGAACGGUUAGCGAUUAGUUGGCAGGCUGGAAAUUAAUAUUAAAUUGUGUGUAGACGUGCCCAACGCCGACCAAUAUCGUCUUCUGCACGAUCGCGUGUAUCGCUGGCGGGAGUUUCUGCAGGGUGCAGCAGAUGGCGCACGCACAUCCGUUUUCAGUAGGCUCCGUAUGUGAGUACAUAAAAGAAAAAAAAACAUUCUAUGGAAAUCGAGCCCUGGAGGCAGGCAGAGUUGUUUUACGAAAGUGCCAUGCUUCCUAUGACCUGUCGCCAGCUUCACCGCUUUUGCUGGACAUUGAGGAUUCAAGGUACUGUACAUAUUCCAAAUCGAUAUGGUAAUUGUCUUCCAUUGCAAGCGAUUUGUCGAUGCUAGUUUGGAUUCUAGCCGGGCUGAUGUUGUAGCACACCUUCCACUGUUCGGGAAGGCUCUCUUAAGCAACUCGUCGUGAUCAGGUGUGUCGUCCGUGAUCGUGAACCGACAAUGAACCUUUUCGGUUUUAUUUGCAUGAUCCCAUACAUGAUGGGUUGAUUGAGACAUACAAAGUAUUCCCAUUAGUAGGUGAUUACGAAUGAAUUCUUAUUGAAGAAAUUAGAACUCUAUUAAUGAUAUUUUUAUCCAUUUUAUAAUGUUGGUUCUUUAUUUU
Anopheles funestus (African malaria mosquito) is the source of this 14814-nucleotide RNA transcript. It is a transcript of the gene named zinc finger protein 860, with no coding region annotated. The transcript is spliced from 2 exons. NCBI's taxonomy places the organism in Eukaryota, Metazoa, Arthropoda, Insecta, Diptera, Culicidae. The record is from RefSeq and is a predicted model, not a curated record.